UACGGGGGGAGCAAGCGUUGUUCGGAUUUACUGGGCGUAAAGGGCGCGUAGGCGGUCAGCACAAGUCAGUUGUGAAAUCUCCGAGCUUAACUCGGAAAGGUCAACUGAUACUGUGCGACUAGAGUGCGGAAGGGGCAACUGGAAUUCUUGGUGUAGCGGUGAAAUGCGUAGAUAUCAAGAGGAACACCUGCGGCGAAGGCGGGUUGCUGGGCUGACACUGACGCUGAAGCGCGAAAGCCAGGGGAGCGAACGGG
Molecule: ribosomal RNA, 254 nt
Filed under: uncultured bacterium
Lineage: Bacteria
Description: partial 16S ribosomal RNA
Rfam family: Bacterial small subunit ribosomal RNA
Source: RNAcentral